GCGCGCCUACCAUGCAGGUCGAGCGGAUGAAAGGAGCUUGCUCCUUGAUUCAGCGGCGGACGGGUGAGUAAUGCCUAGGAAUCUGCCUAUUAGUGGGGGACAACGUUUCGAAAGGAACGCUAAUACCGCAUACGUCCUACGGGAGAAAGCAGGGGACCUUCGGGCCUUGCGCUAAUAGAUGAGCCUAGGUCGGAUUAGCUAGUUGGUGAGGUAAUGGCUCACCAAGGCUGCGAUCCGUAACUGGUCUGAGAGGAUGAUCAGUCACACUGGAACUGAGACACGGUCCAGACUCCUACGGGAGGCAGCAGUGGGGAAUAUUGGACAAUGGGCGAAAGCCUGAUCCAGCCAUGCCGCGUGUGUGAAGAAGGUCUUCCGAUUGUAAAGCACUUUAAGUUUGGGAGAAAGGCAUUAA
This 412-nucleotide ribosomal RNA is filed under the name Stutzerimonas stutzeri. RNAcentral describes it as "bacterial SSU rRNA". It matches the Rfam family "Bacterial small subunit ribosomal RNA", at positions 42 to 458 of the family's 1533-position model. Lineage: Bacteria; Pseudomonadati; Pseudomonadota; Gammaproteobacteria; Pseudomonadales; Pseudomonadaceae. The record is from RNAcentral.